Molecule: ribosomal RNA, 329 nt
Filed under: Salmonella enterica subsp. enterica serovar Urbana str. ATCC 9261
Lineage: Bacteria; Pseudomonadati; Pseudomonadota; Gammaproteobacteria; Enterobacterales; Enterobacteriaceae
Description: bacterial LSU rRNA
Rfam family: Bacterial large subunit ribosomal RNA
Source: RNAcentral
GCUGGGUUUAGAACGUCGUGAGACAGUUCGGUCCCUAUCUGCCGUGGGCGCUGGAGAACUGAGGGGGGCUGCUCCUAGUACGAGAGGACCGGAGUGGACGCAUCACUGGUGUUCGGGUUGUCAUGCCAAUGGCACUGCCCGGUAGCUAAAUGCGGAAGAGAUAAGUGCUGAAAGCAUCUAAGCACGAAACUUGCCCCGAGAUGAGUUCUCCCUGAGACUUAGAGUCUCCUGAAGGAACGUUGAAGACGACGACGUUGAUAGGCCGGGUGUGUAAGCGCAGCGAUGCGUUGAGCUAACCGGUACUAAUGAACCGUGAGGCUUAACCUUAC